UGAUGGAUUUUUAAUCUCAUUCAAAGUCUACACCGUCUGUGGAGAGCCGGUGAAAUGCUUUGUUGUUCCAUCCAAAUCCCCGACGGCCGCUGUCGAACCUCCAGCGCACGGCCCAAACCGGCGUCACCUCUGCAGUUAACUGAGCAAAUAUUACAGGAUCCAUUUGCACAGGGAUGCGCUCCGGCAGGUCCAGCCCGCUCGCCGCGUGUUUGCUCAUCCCGGGGGAGCCCAUCCGGCACUUUGAAUGCUUCCCCCACACAACACCUCUAACCGAGCAGGAGCAAUCUGAUCCCCCAGCUGGAGUGAUGGCUUGGGGCAGCACAGCCCAGGUGAGCCACCAAUGUUUCAAAUCCAAGACGGCAAAGAUGGAAUGCAUCCUCCGGCCUGCGGCUCCUCCUCUCGACCACCCUUCCCCGACAUCCCUGCCACACCCUCGUCAUCUCCUCUUCACCCUGUUUCUGGAGCCUGGGCUGCAGAGGGCCGUCACUCCUGAGCAGCGCAGAAAGGCUAUCCAUGGUGGGCAUCGGGAGGACUCCUGGCUUAGCUAGUUUCUAGAACCUUCCUUGUGUGGCAGGCCCCAGACAGCAUUAGAGCCGCUCUCUGAUGGCAACUACUCCCCAGAUCUCUUGGGUGAUCUGAGAUCAUCAUGUAAGUGGUGGCAAUGAGUGUCCAAGUAACUUCUGAACCUGCUUCCUCCCCGAUAAGCAGGAAUUGAUAACAGAACCUAUGUCUUUGGGGCACCUGGCUGGCUCAGUUGGUUAUGCAUCUGACUUUGGCUCAGGUCAUGAUCCCGAGGUCCUGGGAUUGAGCCCCACAUCAAGCCCCACGUCAAACUCCGAGUUGAGCCUGGGGGGUUCCCUGCUUAGCAUGGAAGUCUGCUUGUCCCUCUGCCCCUCCUCCUGCUUGUGCUCUCUCUCUCUCUCUCAAGCAAAUUAUUAAAAUCUUUUUUUUUAAAGAACCUCGUCUUUAGGGUUUUUACAACAAUUAAAGGAGAUUAUUCUUAUAAAACACCCAGCAGAGACUUAGGUACAGAGA
This 1035-nucleotide long non-coding RNA is filed under the name Canis lupus familiaris (dog). RNAcentral's name for it is "lncRNA (ENSCAFG00000042841.2)". Lineage: Eukaryota; Metazoa; Chordata; Mammalia; Carnivora; Canidae. The record is from RNAcentral.